This is a non-coding RNA of Kogia breviceps (pygmy sperm whale), 1070 nucleotides long. Lineage: Eukaryota; Metazoa; Chordata; Mammalia; Artiodactyla; Physeteridae. The record is from RefSeq and is a predicted model, not a curated record.
GUUCAACAGAAUAACCUGAAUUAGAUGGAAAUUGUGACUUUUAAAAGAUGCAACAUUAAGAGACAUUCCAUGAGACAGAGCAACUCUGCUGUACUAGAAACAGGGCAAGUUCUUCUAACUCCAAAGUUAUGUUGGUGAUAUGUGCUUAUUUCCCCCAGUUAGAUUACCAUUAAUAGUGAAAUAAAAAUAAACCUUCAAUAGAUUGUUUUUCCUUAAUAUGCACACCCACACACAACAAUCCUUUUUAAAUAUGCAAGUGUAUUCUCAUUAGAAAAUGAGAAUGCUAUGUGAAAAAACUGACAAAACUUCCAGGAAUGUUCUUAAACUUUGGCCAAUUUCUCUAGCAAGGAUUCCUUUUAUCUGAAAGGCACAAACAAUGAAGAGGCACUAUGGAUACAGUGGAAAGUUGGGAGAUUAUAGAGUUUUAGCUUUUAGUUUGCUACUAUUCCAUCUAUCUAUCAAUUCAUUCUCUGUCCUUCAACAGACAUAUAUUGAGUACCUACUAUGUGCCAGGCACUUUGCUGUGCAGAGCAGUGAACCAGGUAGGCAUGGAAAUUACAUUCGAGAGAAGAUAGACAAUAAACAAAAGAAAAGAAGAAGACAAGUAUAGCUUGUAAUAAAUGUCAUAUGGAAAUAAACUGGAUGAGAGAGAAUAAUGGGUAGGGAGAAAGGAGCAGAAAAUACUUUAGUUUGACCAGGGAGGCAUUAUAUAUCUACCUAUGUAGUAUCAGGCAAAUCACUGAACUUUUCCGAUACUCAGAUCUCCAGGAUGAAAAACUAAGGUUGAACUGGAUGACAUCAGAGUGGAAAAAGCCCUGCCUGGAUUUGGAGGAAGAAAACUUAAGUUUGAGUUCUGGCUUUGUUUGUAAAACUAUACCUGCAGCACUGUCUCCCUGAUGAAAGAUACUAGUGGUUGUCUCUUCCUUCAACGUUUGAAGGCUCCACUGAGAUAAUUUUGAGAACCUUCACUUGAUGGCCUUCCGUGGACAUCUUGGACAAACAAGUAUGCUCACUGAGCCCUUCUGUUCAUUCAUUGAUGGAACAUUAUGGAAACACAACUGAUUUUUUUU